CUCUCUUAAAGGAAGAAAGCCCAGGGCUCCUGGCCUCCAGCCCAGAGCUCCAGGGAAGGGGCCGGCCAUGUCUGAGCUAGGGAAGAGGCUGCAGAAGAUAAAGGUUCUGGGGACAUGCUCCAAGUUAGAAAGCCAGGCCAGCGCCAGGCAGGUGGACAGUGUUUCCAGUGGCCUUCCUGUGGCCUCGACAUGGUCAGCUCCCGGGCUGCCUCUGUGGCUAGCUCUGGGACCUUCCCAGGUGCCACAUCCCUGGCUCCAUGGGACCCUCUCCAGGCCUGGGGCCAGCAGGACCCCUGGAGAUGUGCCCCUCUUUCUCUGGUUCACACAGCACCAUCGACUUGGCCCCCAGCAUGUCCUCAGCCACCGUCAUCAUCUCUCCAUCCCUCAGCCACCGUCAUCAUCUCUCCAUCCCUCAGCCACCGUCAUCAUCUCUCCACCCCUCAGCCACCGUCAUCAUCUCUCCAUCCCUCAGCCACCGUCAUCAUCUCUCCAUCCCUCAGCCAACGUCAUCAUCUCUCCAUCCCUCAGCCACGAUCCCAGUUGAGGUCACAUCCUACCCACAGGGGCCCUACUGUGCCCCAGGUCCCUCGGCGACCAAGCUCCGGUCCUCAUCUCACGUUCACUCUGAACCAAGGCAAGCUGUCUGGACUUCCACCCUGACCAUGCCACUGCCCUGCUCACAGCUGGGGCCUGCCAGCCUCGGGAUACAGUCCUUGGUCCCCCAUUCCAGCCUCUCCACCAGGCCUGCCUCCCUCCAGUCAUGUGGCAGCCGUGCAUGUGGCCCCUCACUCCGGCCUUGGCAUGCCUGUUCCCUGUGCUGGGAUGGCCCCAUCGUCCCCACCUCACCCUCUGCUUCCUGGCUACCUCCCUCCUCCUGAAGCUCCGCUUACUCCUCCUCUCCUCCAGGAAGCCCUCCCUCACUACCUCCCUCCCGGAACUUCUCCUCCACUUUGGGGCUAACUCUCCCUUCCUGGCCCCCCACCCCCAGCCCAGUCUAAUUGGAGUGUGGCCGGAGCUUCAGUCAGGGCAGUGCAGGUUAGCAAAUGGUUGUGGAUGAGUGCCUGUGGGCAUGUAUGGGCUUCCAGUUGCCUCUGCAGGACUUGGGUGGGGGAGGAGGUACAGCCCCCCGGGUGCCCCCGUCCACUCCCCUUACCGUAACACCGACCUUCACCAGCCCUCCACUUCCUGGUGAAAAGCAGACCUGUGGCCUUGGGCGUCUGCAGCAAGGCCUCAGCUUGGGUCGCUUCUCUCCUGUCAGCGUGGGCCAGCGUGGGCUGCUGUGGCCCCGGCUGCUCCAGGUUGGGGGGAUUAAUUGGCCUGUUGCUGGAGGCAGGCAGAGGCUGGACGGCGGGUAGGCAGAGCAGGCGAGGGGGACCCAAGGCCUGAGCCCCUGUGUUUGCGGGGUGAGGGCAGUGUCCCUGGAGGGAGGGGGUGCUUCUGGCCCUAGGCGAGGGUCCCUGGUGAGCGCCUCUGCAGGGACCCAUCCACAGGGCAGCCCACAUUAGCAUUCUCUGCACAAGAGUUUGCAAAGGAAUGACUCACACUCUGGCUGACUAAUUUGAAAGUAAGCUGCUUUUGCUGCAAGAAGGUUCAGUGAAUCUUAAAAA
Long non-coding RNA from Homo sapiens (human), 1607 nucleotides. Lineage: Eukaryota; Metazoa; Chordata; Mammalia; Primates; Hominidae. The record is from Ensembl.